RNAcentral lists this ribosomal RNA (468 nucleotides) under uncultured bacterium. Its description in RNAcentral is "partial 16S ribosomal RNA". It matches the Rfam family "Bacterial small subunit ribosomal RNA", at positions 28 to 506 of the family's 1533-position model. The record is from RNAcentral.
GACGAACGCUGGCGGCGUGCUUAACACAUGCAAGUCGAACGGAAAGGCCCUGCUUUUGUGGGGUGCUCGAGUGGCGAACGGGUGAGUAACACGUGAGUAACCUGCCCUUGACUUUGGGAUAACUUCAGGAAACUGGGGCUAAUACCGGAUAGGAGCUCCUGCUGCAUGGUGGGGGUUGGAAAGUUUCGGCGGUUGGGGAUGGACUCGCGGCUUAUCAGCUUGUUGGUGGGGUAGUGGCUUACCAAGGCUUUGACGGGUAGCCGGCCCGAGAGGGUGACCGGCCCCCAUGGGACUGGGGGUCCGGCCCGCACCCCCCCGGGGGGAAGCGGGGGGGACAUUUGCCCCAGGGGCGGAGCCCGGUGCCGCCAACCCCGGGUGCGGGAUUCCGGCCUCCGGUUUGAAACCCCCUUUCCCCUUUGCCGACGGGUGGGUACCGGAAUUGGUUAAAGAACCCCCGCCUACCUCCGG